RNAcentral lists this ribosomal RNA (386 nucleotides) under uncultured bacterium. RNAcentral describes it as "bacterial SSU rRNA". It matches the Rfam family "Bacterial small subunit ribosomal RNA", at positions 29 to 416 of the family's 1533-position model. The record is from RNAcentral.
AUUGAACGCUGGCGGCAUGCCUUACACAUGCAAGUCGAACGGCAGCACGGGAGCAAUCCUGGUGGCGAGUGGCGAACGGGUGAGUAAUAUAUCGGAACGUGCCCAGUCGUGGGGGAUAACGCAGCGAAAGCUGCGCUAAUACCGCAUACGAUCUGAGGAUGAAAGCGGGGGGCCGUAAGGCCUCGCGCGAUCGGAGCGGCCGAUGUCAGAUUAGGUAGUUGGUGGGGUAAAGGCUCACCAAGCCGACGAUCUGUAGCUGGUCUGAGAGGAUGAUCCGCCACACUGGGACUGAGACACGGCCCAGACUCCUACGGGAGGCAGCAGUGGGGAAUUUUGGACAAUGGGCGCAAGCCUGAUCCAGCCAUGCCGCGUGAGUGAAGAAGGCC